RNAcentral lists this unclassified non-coding RNA (231 nucleotides) under plant metagenome. RNAcentral describes it as "partial contains small subunit ribosomal RNA, internal transcribed spacer 1, and 5.8S ribosomal RNA". The record is from RNAcentral.
UCUCCGUUGGUGAACCAGCGGAGGGAUCAUUACAGAGUUGCAAAACUCCCAAACCAUUGUGAACGUUACCUAUCCCGUUGCUUCGGCGGGCGGCCCGGGCCCCGCGCCCGGCGCCCCCCGGCCCCCCGUGGGCGCCCGCCGGAGGUAAACCAAACCCUUGAAUUGCAUGGCCUCUCUGAGUCUUCGGUACUGAAUAAGUCAAAACUUUCAACAACGGAUCUCUUGGUUCUG